GCUGGGCACAGUGGCAUGUGCCUGUACUCUCAGCUACUUGGGAGGCUGAGGUGGGAGGAUCGCUUGAGCCCAGGAGUUCUGGGCUGUAGUGUGCUCUGUCAGUUGGGUGUGCGCACUAAGUUCUGCAUCAAUAUAGUGACCUGCUGGGAGCAAGGGACCACCAGGUUGCUUAAGGAGGGGCGAACCGGCCCAAGUCAGAAAUGGAGCAGGUCGAAAAAAAAAAAAAGAAAAGAAAAGAAAAGAGGCCGGGCGCGGUGGCUCAUGCCUGUAAUCCCAGCACUUUGGGAGGUCGAGGCGGGUGGAUCAUAAGGUCAAGAGAUCAAGACCAUCCUGGUCAACAUGGUGAAACCCCGUCUCUA
Molecule: signal recognition particle RNA, 359 nt
Filed under: Callithrix jacchus (white-tufted-ear marmoset)
Lineage: Eukaryota; Metazoa; Chordata; Mammalia; Primates; Cebidae
Description: Metazoan signal recognition particle RNA (ENSCJAG00000083921.1)
Rfam family: Metazoan signal recognition particle RNA
About the family: The signal recognition particle (SRP) is a universally conserved ribonucleoprotein.
Source: Rfam by way of RNAcentral